RNAcentral lists this unclassified non-coding RNA (130 nucleotides) under Actinacidiphila bryophytorum. The record is from RNAcentral. Lineage: Bacteria; Bacillati; Actinomycetota; Actinomycetes; Kitasatosporales; Streptomycetaceae.
AGAGGAAGUCCGGUGCGAAUCCGGCGCGGUCCCGCCACUGUCACCGGGGAGUGCACUCCCAACCCGUACGUCACGGCCGGCUCGCCGGUUGGAAGACCGGGAGUGCGUAGAUCCGGGAGCCAGGAGACUC